This is a non-coding RNA of Triticum aestivum (bread wheat), 125 nucleotides long. NCBI's taxonomy places the organism in Eukaryota, Viridiplantae, Streptophyta, Magnoliopsida, Poales, Poaceae. The record is from Rfam.
GACAUACUUUUUCCAUCCGAAAAUAUUUGUCGGAGAAAUAGAUGUAUCUAGACAUAUUUUAGUUCUAGAUAUACCCAUUUUUGUUCAUUUCUAUGAUAAGUAUUUUCGAACGGAGGGAGUAUGUG